GACCUCUCUCCCAUGGGGCUGGAGGGUCCCUUUUCUUCUUAGCCAGGGCUGGAAGCCAAGAUCAGCCCUUGUCAUUGUCAGGGCUACCACAAGCUGGCAGCCUUGUUUUCCUGCCUCAGACAUCU
Molecule: non-coding RNA, 125 nt
Organism: Ailuropoda melanoleuca (giant panda)
Lineage: Eukaryota; Metazoa; Chordata; Mammalia; Carnivora; Ursidae
Source: Ensembl